Molecule: long non-coding RNA, 620 nt
Filed under: Homo sapiens (human)
Lineage: Eukaryota; Metazoa; Chordata; Mammalia; Primates; Hominidae
Description: non-protein coding lnc-ADRA2A-5:1
Source: RNAcentral
AUGGGUGUGAGUGCAUCUAACUAUCCUCAUUCAUGUUCCCUGAGAAUAGGAGGAAAUUCACAUGUCCACGAGACUUUUAUAGAAACAUCAUUCUAUUCUCAGCAAGGCUAUGGUUGUGAAUCAAAAUUGUAUAGCCUCGCCCAAGGCCAUGAGAAACCGUGACAGGAGAAAAAAAAAAGGAAUUUCUGGACUUGCCACCCUCAAAAAAAAGUUUAUUAAAUGCUGAAAAUCUAAUUGAUCUGCUGAUCAAGAAGAACUGAUCAGCCAAGAACUGUUGCAAGAAUUGUUUUCUGUUUGGGAUGUUACAGAUGUCAAUGCAUUAGUAGAGGAAUAUGAGAGAACUUCAGCCUUAAAGGAGUUUUCUCUAUAAGUCAAUUUGACUAGACCAGAAGCUGAGACAUUGCAGAAUAAUAUGGCUGAUCUUUAUGCGAAGCUAUAUGUACUGAUAUAGACCUGAUAUUUCAUGAAACUUGUUUUACUGUUCAUUGUACCAUUUUUGGCAGCAAGAUUUCCAUUUUUAAAAACACUGCUUUGUUUCUCACCUAAAUGUGGGGCAAAAAUAAUAAUGGACAUCAAUACAGUUUGUAUUAAUAUGCCCAUGUUUUCUGCUUUAUUACUGG